Small nucleolar RNA from Fukomys damarensis (Damara mole-rat), 132 nucleotides. NCBI's taxonomy places the organism in Eukaryota, Metazoa, Chordata, Mammalia, Rodentia, Bathyergidae. The record is from Ensembl.
AGCCUUUGUGUUGCCCAUUCACUUUUGAAACAAGUGAGUGAGAUGUCAAAAAAGACAAAAAUAAAUGCUUUGCAGUCUUUUCCACCCCUUACAUUUGGUGUAUUUGGUGUAGGAGCUGCAUAAGUAACACUU